This 843-nucleotide long non-coding RNA is filed under the name Parus major (Great Tit). RNAcentral describes it as "lncRNA (ENSPMJG00000000684.1)". The record is from RNAcentral. Lineage: Eukaryota; Metazoa; Chordata; Aves; Passeriformes; Paridae.
CUUGGCAAUCCCACUUUAGGUCUAAUCUAGACCUAUCAUUAGAGUCAACUUUCAUUGAAAUUUCAUGGAAUUCUUAUUGGUUGUUUUUGGUUUGUUUUUUUUUAACUUGAAAGGUGUUCAAAGAGGACAGAAUUUUUAGUGAAUUGGAUCCAAGAGCCAUUUCAUCAUGCUCAAAGCAGAUGUUAUCAGGAAGGAUCAUUUGUAUUGGCAGUCCUUCAAAAGGUUACCCUCUAACCAUGCUCAAAUCAGGUAUUUGGUCUGGCUGCCUGACAGAAGGCUGUGAAAAACAGCCCCCAGCUCUCUCUUGGUCUGUCUCACACCAGUGUGGAGCCCAGGCUGGCACUGCCCAGGCUGUCACUACCCAGCUGUCCCACAGAAGAUGCUGACAAGCUGUAGCACCUUCACUUCUGAAAACUGCCAGAGUCAAAGGGAAGGAUGGGAAGGAUAUUCUGCUUUUCACAGAAGCUGGACAUGCAGCAAAAGGGGUGCUGUAACCUGAACAUUUGCAGCACGAUAUAGCUGGACAAAGAGGCUACACAGACCCAAUCAGAAUGUUAUCUACAAGAUAAAUAUUUGAACUGAAGCAGGCUCUUCAGGCCCUCUGUUCAUGUGCCACACACUGCAUGCACUGGCAGCUGUCCCAGUGACACAGUGAGCUGGAAUUGUGCUGCUCAGGUGCACGUGCUCCCACACUCUGAGCUAGCUUGGAACACAAAAGGUCUUCAUGAGCUCCAGUUCUGUGCCCAUAAUCAUGAUCAUCCUCUGUAGUCAGAAGGAAGCAGGCACAUCUUCCACAAAUUACUGAAAGAAUUACCGAAGAUGGGCAUUGUGGUUACAGCUGUA